UUUCAGUCAGUCACAUCCGCCCCUCCCCCACAGCUCACAGUCACUGGAUCACAGCCGGACGGCUCGCGACGCCGUCACGGAAAAUAACAGCUGGACACAGACAAACGAGUCCCGCGAAUUGUAUUUUUAAACUGGAGAGACAGCUGACAGGAUGUCGUCAUCUGUAACCGUCACUCGCCACAGUUCUCAAGAGAGAAAGGCAGCGAGGGGUGGUGUGAUGUCAUUUGCAACAAGACGGCUGAUACUAAUAUGAGCCUAAAAUAAAGGACAAUAAUGGCAUCAGCCAUUCAAGUUAUGAUCCUGGCAGAUCUACUACUAUCUGAAAAGUAGUCUCUGCAGAUUGUUUCAAGAUACACAAGAUGGAGCGUGGAGAGACGGGACAUGGACCACAGUUUUUCAGCACCCACACCCCACACUCAAAUUCAUAUAGAAGUUCUCAAUUAUUAAAUGUUAAUUUCAUAGUUUAUAUUUAGCUGUGAAGUUAUAGUUCAUUGUCAUAAAUAUUAAACUACAUAUUAUUAUUAUUAUUAUUAUUUUACAUGAUAUGCAAAUUUCACCAAUUUGUUUAAUGUGUUAAUUAACUUUUUGAAAUUGAUUAUCUUUAAUAAUUCAGAUACCUGUUGAAAUGCACAUGUAAUUAUAUACUUGCUCGUAUCUGGAAGGUUGUGUUAAUAAAAAUGAUGUUGAAAGCGAA
Long non-coding RNA from Onychostoma macrolepis, 694 nucleotides. RefSeq lists it as uncharacterized. The record is from RefSeq and is a predicted model, not a curated record. The transcript is spliced from 5 exons. Lineage: Eukaryota; Metazoa; Chordata; Actinopteri; Cypriniformes; Cyprinidae.